Molecule: ribosomal RNA, 495 nt
Filed under: uncultured bacterium
Lineage: Bacteria
Description: partial 16S ribosomal RNA
Rfam family: Bacterial small subunit ribosomal RNA
Source: RNAcentral
GACGAACGCUGGCGGCGUGCCUAAUACAUGCAAGUAGAACGCUGAAGGAGGAGCUUGCUUCUCUGGAUGAGUUGCGAACGGGUGAGUAACGCGUAGGUAACCUGCCUGGUAGCGGGGGAUAACUAUUGGAAACGAUAGCUAAUACCGCAUAACAGUAGAUAUCGCAUGAUAUCUACUUGAAAGGUGCAAUUGCAUCACUACCAGAUGGACCUGCGUUGUAUUAGCUAGUUGGUGAGGUAACGGCUCACCAAGGCGACGAUACAUAGCCGACCUGAGAGGGUGAUCGGCCACAAUGGGACUGAGACACGGCCCAGACUCCUACGGGAGGCAGCAGUAGGGAAUCUUCGGCAAUGGACGGAAGUCUGACCGAGCAACGCCGCGGGAGUGAAGAAGGUUUUCGGAUCGUAAAGAUCUGUUGUAAGAGAAGAACGAGUGUGAGAGUGGAAAGUUCACACUGUGACGGUAUCUUACCAGAAAGGGACGGCUAACUACGUG